This 2898-nucleotide ribosomal RNA is filed under the name Streptococcus pneumoniae GA40183. RNAcentral describes it as "bacterial LSU rRNA". It matches the Rfam family "Bacterial large subunit ribosomal RNA". Lineage: Bacteria; Bacillati; Bacillota; Bacilli; Lactobacillales; Streptococcaceae. The record is from RNAcentral.
UAAGUUAAUAAGGGCGCACGGUGGAUGCCUUGGCACUAGGAGCCGACGAAGGACGUGACAAACGACGAUAUGCCUUGGGUAGCUGUAAGUAAGCGAUGAUCCAGGGAUUUCCGAAUGGGGGAACCCAACAGGUAAUACCUGUUACCUACAUCUGUUAAGGAUGUGAGGAGGAAGACGCAGUGAACUGAAACAUCUAAGUAGCUGCAGGAAGAGAAAGCAAAAGCGAUUGCCUUAGUAGCGGCGAGCGAAACGGCAGAAGGGCAAACCGAAGAGUUUACUCUUCGGGGUUGUAGGACUGCAAUGUGGACUCAAAGAUUAUAGAAGAAUGAUUUGGGAAGAUCAGCCAAAGAGAGUAAUAGCCUCGUAUUUAAAAUAGUCUUUGUACUUAGCAGUAUCCUGAGUGCGGCGGGACACGUGAAAUCCCGUCGGAAUCUGGGAGGACCAUCUCCCAACCCUAAAUACUCCCUAGUGACCGAUAGUGAACCAGUACCGUGAGGGAAAGGUGAAAAGCACCCCGGGAGGGGAGUGAAAUAGAACCUGAAACCGUGUGCCUACAACAAGUUCGAGCCCGUUAAUGGGUGAGAGCGUGCCUUUUGUAGAAUGAACCGGCGAGUUACGUUAUGAUGCGAGGUUAAGUUGAAGAGACGGAGCCGUAGGGAAACCGAGUCUGAAUAGGGCGCCUUAGUAUCAUGACGUAGACCCGAAACCAUGUGACCUACCCAUGAGCAGGUUGAAGGUGCGGUAAGACGCACUGGAGGACCGAACCAGGGCACGUUGAAAAGUGCUUGGAUGACUUGUGGGUAGCGGAGAAAUUCCAAACGAACUUGGAGAUAGCUGGUUCUCUCCGAAAUAGCUUUAGGGCUAGCGUCGACAUUAGAGAUUCUUGGAGGUAGAGCACUGUUUGGGUGAGGGGUCCAUCCCGGAUUACCAAUCUCAGAUAAACUCCGAAUGCCAAUGAAUUAUGGUCGGCAGUCAGACUGCGAGUGCUAAGAUCCGUAGUCGAAAGGGAAACAGCCCAGACCACCAGCUAAGGUCCCAAAAUAAUUGUUAAGUGGAAAAGGAUGUGGGGUUGCACAGACAACUAGGAUGUUAGCUUAGAAGCAGCUAUUCAUUCAAAGAGUGCGUAAUAGCUCACUAGUCGAGUGACCCUGCGCCGAAAAUGUACCGGGGCUAAAACAAUUUACCGAAGCUGUGGAUACCUUUAUAGGUAUGGUAGGAGAGCGUUCUAUGUGUGAUGAAGGUAUACCGUGAGGAGUGCUGGAACGCAUAGAAGUGAGAAUGCCGGUAUGAGUAGCGAAAGACAGGUGAGAAUCCUGUCCACCGUAAGACUAAGGUUUCCAGGGGAAGGCUCGUCCGCCCUGGGUUAGUCGGGACCUAAGGAGAGACCGAAAGGUGUAUCCGAUGGACAACAGGUUGAUAUUCCUGUACUAGAGUAUGUAGUGAUGGAGGGACGCAGUAGGCUAACUAAAGCAGACGAUUGGAAGAGUCUGUCUAAGCAGUGAGGUGUGAAUUGAGUCAAAUGCUUAAUUCUAUAACAUUGAGCUGUGAUGGGGAGCGAAGUUUAGUAGCGAAGUUAGUGACGUCACACUGCCAAGAAAAGCUUCUAGCGUUUAAACAUACUCUACCCGUACCGCAAACCGACACAGGUAGUCGAGGCGAGUAGCCUCAGGUGAGCGAGAGAACUCUCGUUAAGGAACUCGGCAAAAUGACCCCGUAACUUCGGGAGAAGGGGUGCUGACUUAAAGUCAGCCGCAGUGAAUAGGCCCAAGCAACUGUUUAUCAAAAACACAGCUCUCUGCUAAAUCGUAAGAUGAUGUAUAGGGGGUGACGCCUGCCCGGUGCUGGAAGGUUAAGAGGAGUGCUUAGCGUAAGCGAAGGUAUGAAUUGAAGCCCCAGUAAACGGCGGCCGUAACUAUAACGGUCCUAAGGUAGCGAAAUUCCUUGUCGGGUAAGUUCCGACCCGCACGAAAGGCGUAAUGAUUUGGGCACUGUCUCAACGAGAGACUCGGUGAAAUUUUAGUACCUGUGAAGAUGCAGGUUACCCGCGACAGGACGGAAAGACCCCAUGGAGCUUUACUGCAGUUUGAUAUUGAGUGUCUGUACCACAUGUACAGGAUAGGUAGGAGUCUAAGAGAUCGGGACGCCAGUUUCGAAGGAGACGCUGUUGGGAUACUACCCUUGUGUUAUGGCCACUCUAACCCAGAUAGGUGAUCCCUAUCGGAGACAGUGUCUGACGGGCAGUUUGACUGGGGCGGUCGCCUCCUAAAAGGUAACGGAGGCGCCCAAAGGUUCCCUCAGAAUGGUUGGAAAUCAUUCGCAGAGUGUAAAGGUAUAAGGGAGCUUGACUGCGAGAGCUACAACUCGAGCAGGGACGAAAGUCGGGCUUAGUGAUCCGGUGGUUCCGUAUGGAAGGGCCAUCGCUCAACGGAUAAAAGCUACCCUGGGGAUAACAGGCUUAUCUCCCCCAAGAGUUCACAUCGACGGGGAGGUUUGGCACCUCGAUGUCGGCUCGUCGCAUCCUGGGGCUGUAGUCGGUCCCAAGGGUUGGGCUGUUCGCCCAUUAAAGCGGCACGCGAGCUGGGUUCAGAACGUCGUGAGACAGUUCGGUCCCUAUCCGUCGCGGGCGUAGGAAAUUUGAGAGGAUCUGCUCCUAGUACGAGAGGACCAGAGUGGACUUACCGCUGGUGUACCAGUUGUCUUGCCAAAGGCAUCGCUGGGUAGCUAUGUAGGGAAGGGAUAAACGCUGAAAGCAUCUAAGUGUGAAACCCACCUCAAGAUGAGAUUUCCCAUGAUUAUAUAUCAGUAAGAGCCCUGAGAGAUGAUCAGGUAGAUAGGUUAGAAGUGGAAGUGUGGCGACACAUGUAGCGGACUAAUACUAAUAGCUCGAGGACUUAUCCA